This 1252-nucleotide long non-coding RNA is filed under the name Phascolarctos cinereus (koala). RNAcentral describes it as "lncRNA (ENSPCIG00000030652.1)". The record is from RNAcentral. Lineage: Eukaryota; Metazoa; Chordata; Mammalia; Diprotodontia; Phascolarctidae.
GCACCUAACAACUUAAUAACUGGUUAUAUUAUAAAACUGUUCAAAAUCUAGUCACUCGUUACAUUGUAUCUUCUUAUUAAAACUUGUUAGAAAAAUGUAGGAUUGAGGCAGUUUAGAGCAGCAGAUAGAGAACUAGUCUCUGAGCCUGGAAAACCUAGGUUCCAAUCCCACCUUUUAACAUAUCCAGGAUAUGGGAAGUCAUCCGAGCUUAAGUGCCUGGGCAAGUCUCAAGGACUAUAAAGUGAAAAGAAUGUGCGGGUGUGCAUCGCCAGAGGGAGUUCCUCCCUGGAAAUUUCCUAUACCAGAGAAAAAAACAAAUUAGGCAAAAAAAAAAAAGGGAGUUCCAGGGAAGGGUUGGGGGGGGGGGGGGUGGAGCGCCGGACCCAUCUGCGCAGGUGCGAGCGUCCUGGCUCUUCAGGCAGCCCCGCUCCUCCCCCUGCGCGGCGGUGACGUCAGCGCUGUCCCCGCGGCGGGCAAGGCGCCAGAAUCCCAGCCGAGAUUCCCGGAUGCUGACGUCACCGACGUCCGGGCGUCCUCACCAGCGUAGGGCUCGUGCUCCCUCCGGGGCUACCGCCAUGUUGGGCGUCGAGAGGUUUUCUGUAGUGGGUUGUGCUCUGGCUUGGGCCAUAAAGAUCGACCCCCACCUCCGCAUCCCAUCGUCCUCCCAUUCUCCUCCGGCGAGGUGCCAGAUGAGGCCCUGACAGCUCUGAGGGUUCCCAGACGAGGAGCAGAGCCAGAAUAGCGCCGAGGGGAAGGGGGCAGGAGUGGUUAGCCGAAAGCCCCAGGCGCCAGCCGCGCAUGCGCUUCCUAUCUCCCCACCCCACCCCCUGAGCCCCAAGGGCCCUUCCCCGAGUCUAGGAACCCUGGGGGAGGGGCUGUAAGAUCGCGAGAUCAGGGCCCGGGUGCCGAGGAGAUUCCGAGGCAUCAUCUGACAGACGAAGGAACUGAGGCCCCGAGGAGGAACGGACUUGCCCGAGCUCCCCCGGGGAAUAAGUAACUCGGGAAGGAUCUGAGGUCAGCUCCUCCGGAGGCCCAAGUCCCGCGCUCCGGAAGGUGGUGGGACAGUGACCCCCUCCCUCCCAGAACGUCCAGAGGACACUGUGAGCCUCCUUCCCCGUCCCCGGGCCUUUAGAGAGGGUUAGGGCUGGCCUCAAGGAUUUCUGGAGCACUUGCCACCUUCCUGAGCUAGGAGGGGCUUCUUCGGAUCAGUCGUCCUCCCUCCGCUGACACUGAUCCAGACCCUAAACGGGGG